AAAAAAUCAAAAAACAAGUUUGAGUAAUAAAAGUUUCUCUUCUCCAAAAUCUUUCUACUCUUCCAAAAUUUCCUUAGCCUAAAGACCUCCCUCCAAAUAUUAAUAGCAAUCCUCUUCCAACAGAACCUAUAACCUUCAACUUAGGAAAUAAGUACUUGUGUUGUCAUGUUUAUUCCUUUUAUCUGCUAUAUACAAUAUGUUUGGAUCGAAGGAUUAUUUUUUAUAUAUAUGACAAAAUAUAAUCUGUUAAAAUUU
This 255-nucleotide long non-coding RNA is filed under the name Nicotiana benthamiana. RNAcentral's name for it is "long non-coding RNA (NBEN_LNC039975)". Lineage: Eukaryota; Viridiplantae; Streptophyta; Magnoliopsida; Solanales; Solanaceae. The record is from RNAcentral.